Molecule: transfer RNA, 69 nt
Filed under: Ictidomys tridecemlineatus (thirteen-lined ground squirrel)
Lineage: Eukaryota; Metazoa; Chordata; Mammalia; Rodentia; Sciuridae
Description: Spermophilus tridecemlineatus (thirteen-lined ground squirrel) tRNA
Rfam family: tRNA
About the family: Transfer RNA (tRNA) molecules are approximately 80 nucleotides in length. Their secondary structure includes four short double-helical elements and three loops (D, anti-codon, and T loops).
Source: Rfam by way of RNAcentral
GGAGUUGUAGCUCAGCGGUAGAGCUCUUGCCUUGUACAUGUGAGGCACUGGGUUCAAUUCUCAGCACCA